UGUAGACGUUCUUCCAAAUGCCAAUGGUCCAUUCUAAAUACCUAUAUGAUGGAGCAAGUAAAGUGAAACAAUUUGCUGUAAGCUCUAUUUUGGACAAUGGAGAGAAACAGAAGAAACACUAUUUUUAAGGUACUUAUUUUAGUUCCUUUUUUUUGCCCCCUCCUUUUAAAGUGUUUGCUUGUGACGCACUGUUGUUUUUCUGGGAAUAAAAAUGGUUGCGUGUGAAUUCUUCGGUCCAAUUCCGCGCAAGCUAUAUCUCUAGCAGCUAGCAUGGCAUUUUACUUGUACCUGAUGGUUUCUCUUCUGCUGGGUAUGAAAUUUUUACUGGGUAAAUUGUCUUCAGAUCAACGUUUUAGCUGGUUUUUGCUAGCAAUCGUUCUUACUUGUUAAUUACUGUUUAAUCUGUCUUUCAACUAAAUUUCCUGUACUCAACUGGUGAAUUUGAUUAUAUUUGGGAGACUUCUCAAGACUCAAGCAUUGUACUUCUAAUUGUCGUAAAGCAUAGUGGGGAUCAACCAUGUAUAAUCAUUAAGUGCUGAUGGGAUAUCCACAGAAGGGGUUUUCAGAUUUUCAAGCAACGUCAUUCUUUCUUUCCAUAAAUGUGCAACGUUCUUCGGUCCAUUGUUCUUUUUUUUUUUGCUAAUUGUGCUGUGUCUUUGUUUGCGAAUGUGACUAACAGAAACUACAAGUGGAACUUAGGGAUGUUCCCUUGAAAAAUCACAGGUAUCCAUCUCAUCUUUGAAGUAGGUAGUCUUGCCAGGAACAAUUCUGGAAGCAAAAUCUACUUUUGUGAACCUUAUUGGGAUAAAUGACAGAAUAUAAUCCAGUGAUUACAUUUUAAUGCUGUAUGUGAUGCAUGAGAACAGGUUUGUUUAUCUGGAAACUUUUCAGCUCCACAUCCAAAACAAACUACUAUAUGGAUAUGGCAAUAUGCACAGAAAAACAUGCUGGUUUUUCCUUUUUUUUUUUCCCACUUGGAUAGCAGAGUUCAGGGUUUUGUUUUUCCUAUUUCCUUUGACUAGCAUGGAGAUAUCUUGAGAGCCAUUUCAUGCAAAUGGAUCCAAUCUGGCCUUUGUUGCUGAGAGAUUUCACAUUUGAAGUUUGUAGUGCUUUGGCCAAUCACCUGUGCCUGUUAAAUUGUCCUUCAACUUCUAGGUUUGCAUUAUUCAAUUAAAGGAGAUCAUCCUCGAGAGUCUUUGCACUUCGAGUUGCCAAAAAGGCAGAGUGGGGAAUAUAAGAUUGCUCUUUUAUUUGCUAUGAGAUAUCCUGGGUAAAGGUUUUUCAAAUUCUGAAACAAGAUAAUUGCAUUAUGAAUGGGCAAGUCCAUAGUUUUCAAUGUUUCUCAGUCUCCAGUGAGUUGCACCAUGGUUCAUGAAAAAAAAGGAUGACAAUGGGAGUGGGAAUCCUCCAUUUGUUCAAAUUCAAAGGUCAUACAACAUCUUUUCUCUGUUUAAGUUGUAUGCAGCCUUUCCCUGGGAUCAAAUGAUAUUUCUUUUUUUAUGUUCUUCACGUUGUUUUUGAUUCACUGGAAGGCAGAUUUUAAGCAUUGACAGUUUUUUAAACUAUUUACACUGGAGCGUAGGACCCAAGAAGUGAAAAUUUAGAUUAAUUCUUUAAAUGAACCCCUAGAACUUUGAAAAUUGAAUUAUUCUCAUUUGAAAACUUAUUUUUCAUGUGAUCAUCAGAAGGCUAGUUUUGCUUUUGGAGCGAUUGUUUUGCAUAGUAAAACACUCAAAACUUCUUUCUAGGGAAUAUAUUCAACUCAAAGUAGACUCAAACAAGCCUUUUAUGUGUUCUUCUAUUGCAGUAUAUUGAUCAUUACUUCUAGCACAAGGAUAGAGUUGUAAUCUUACCAUAUUAGUUAAAAUCGUAUUGUCUUUGCCUAUUGUAUUUUACUCCUUGUGAAUAUAGACAUGAUGACUCUAGUAAUUGUAAAUUAUGUAAAGUCAUUCUUUUUUGUCAAGAUUAUGUUUGUUCCCGUGUUAUUAGAAAUGCUUUGUGCUUCAUUUCAUCAGAAGGCACUUAAAAAUAAUUACAUCAAAUGUUCUUCAUCUUUUUCAUUCUUUCUACAAUUUUUUCUUCAAUUUAACACUUGACCAGGAUAAUUCUGCUCAAAUGGAGAAGUAAGUUCAAGUAGUGGGAUAGAAGGAAAGGAGGUAUACAAACAGUGAUUUGGAUUAAAGUGGCAGAAGUAUUUUCUGUAGCAACAAUUAAUAAAAGAUUUUGCCACUACAGAACUUAGUAGGAAUGCAGUUUCUAGCCUCAACUAAUUCGGGAUUGAGGUUAAGUUUUGUAGAGUUAUGUCAUGAAUGUGAUGAUGUCAUGAUUCAACUUGAUUACAUCUUUAGCCAAAUUUGCAUUAUUAGAUGUACUUCUUCAUUACCACUCCAUUGGUAUUAAAAAGUAUAAAUGGAAGAUAAUUUUAUCCUACCAGAUCCAUAUCUUUCUGCAUGUUUUAAACUAUCUCUAUAUAUUGUCUAUUGAGGCGGCAAUUUGCUACGAUGUGGAUUUGCCAACCUAAAGCUGUGACCUGGUCACAACAAGAGUGUUUGGGUUGUGAGAAACAGAGGGAAAGUAAGGCUAAAAGGGUAUGAAAAAGAGAAAGAGAUGAGAAGAGAAGAGAGGGAAGAGAGAACAGAGAGAUAGAGAGAGAUAAUGACUCAGAUGAUUAAGUUUAAGCCCAUGUUCUUUUUGCCUUGUUCCUUGUGAUAUGGAUUUCACAUUGUACUAACUUUUAACUUAGUUCUGCCUGCUUAAUGUGAUGUAUUUAUAACUAGUUAACUGUUGAUAUUGUCUUAUGCGUGACCUGACGUGGUGUAAGCUAUGCUAUGUGUCACGGUUUCAGAUUUCAGCAAUCGCCUGGAACCGUGCGGCACUUGAUUCGAAUACCUUCAAGCCAAGUCAGCCUUAAGAAUCACCCGAUACCCUGUGAACAUGAGUACCCUGAUUAGUCAAGGUUAUAUAAGCGAAUAGCGAAGCCAACAGGCAGCAUUCCAUUAGAAGCCUCACAGUAGGCACAAAAGAUAAGAACAGAACAUGGGAAUUCAUGAACAGGCUACUUAUUUUAUUACAGGGGCAAAAUAGUAAUUAUACAUUAUCAUCGAUGCAAUCGUUACAAUAAUUCUCACCUCCCUUGUAGACAGGGGGACGGUCUACAAGGAGUGAAGGCACAACUUGGAUCUCCGUAGGCCUAUGGUAGCCAACUGGGCCCAGCCCCAGCUGGUGGCCAACUAGUUACUCCCCCCUAAAGAGCCUUAGGAACAACUUGGCUUGUGACAGGAGGAGACAUCAACAUAUCUCAUAUGACACCCCCCUAAAAUAAAUACAUGAAAAGGAAUUACAACAAAUUGUCUCGGCCAUUAUCUUCCUACUAAUUUCUACUAUUUUAUCCCAAUAUUGCUUUCUAGGAAUUUCAAUGUUGGAAAAUUACAGUUUUGGUCCCUGAAAACUCUAUGACCCUGACACUCCCCCACUUAAACAGUCGACGUCGUCGUUGACUGAGUUUGUUGGGGUUCUUCAAUCUUUGAGUCCGACAUUCUUAGGCUUGCAGUGUGAUUUGAUCCCAGUCCUGCUCAAUUAAAUUGUUGGACAGCCUUAAUCCUUAGUAUCUCCUCCCAAUUGAUCUCUGUGGACUGCUAAUUCUUAAUGAUGAUGAGACUACAAAAGCUCUAUCUUCUGGUGGUAAAUGUUCUGCCCUUGAUUCCUUAGACUACUGCAAAUGGUGCUAGAAAUUAUUGCUUUCCUCCUCUGCACGAACUUAUUGCCUGAAGUCAUUGAUCACUGGUACUUUUCUCCUUAACUUGUCUCGCCAUUACUUGUCUUUAAUUGUCGACCUUACUCUUUGCCUCAAAGCACGACCCCAUGGUGCAACAAAUCUAUCAACCUGCAUACACUCAUGCCAUAUGACAUCAUGAUUAACCUGUAAUAAUCUCAUAAGAAAGGAUAGUACUAACCACGUUAGAAUCAAAUACAAACUAAUAUAGCAAGUCAUCUAGAACACAAUCCAUUAUAAAUUAAUAGGUGUGACCACAGCACUUGUCCACUAAAAUUGGAACUGUCUUUACCCAUCCGCUUGACAUAACACAACGUUAUUCCACCUGUAGCGAAGCUCGGCGAAUCCUCCUAAGGAACUGGUGUCCCUAUUGUCAAAAGAGUUCGCUCAACACUCUCUUUCUCCUUUUGUACGCCUUAUGUUCCUCCCUUCAUAAGCUCUGGUAUUAUGUACACUUUAUCUCUUUUUCCUCUCCCUAAGAAUGUAGUCUACGCAAAUGCCUACAAAACGUCUCCCAUUACACACACAAAAUAUCCACGACCACUGAAAAGGGGCAUUUUCUUGUUGAACCCUAUGAGCCACAGAAAUCUACUCAAAACAACUAUUAAGAUUGACUAUACAUGAACCAAUUAAUACCAUCAUCAUGACUUGACACCAAGAAAUUACUAGAAGAUACUCCCUUUCUUAUACUGCUUUCAUCAUAGCUCACAACAUCGAUUCGCCUCACCAACUUGCCUCAAGCAACCUGCGCUUCUCGACCCAUCUCGGUCCUUCCCCACGUUGAUGCACUUAUGAGAACUUUUAUUUGGCCAUGAGGUCUCUUUCCUGCCCGACAACAAAGGUAGGACUACAUUUGUCCUUUUUAAUUACACAUUAUUAUCCAAUCCCUUUUAAGGCAGCUACAUCCUAUAUGUUCACAAUAUUUGUUAGCACAAACUUGUCAAGUUCCACAUCGAGGAACCUGACUCAAUAAUCCACAAAAUAUUUCAGAAUAAAUGAAUAACUAUAUAAAGUAAGGUAAGGAAUGAUAUCAGGAAACACAAAAACAUUAUACUCAUCUGAUAUGAGAGGGUUCCCUCUCGUUAAAUUCCUUUCUCUCGUACUGAAUGAUCAUUAAGGAUCUCCAUCUCUCAUCAUUACCUUGAGCACCACACUCCUUUGACCAGUUCAAUAGUCCUCACUUCUGUCAGUUUUCGCUUAUCCUCCUUCCUUUUGUCGUAGGAUGAGUGAAUUAUUUGCUUCCACAACGUUGUUGCUCCCAACGGUAUUUGAUGCCACUCUUGCCCAAUGUUACCAUACAUUCCUAUGGGUUGUCCUAUCAAAAUGUUUACUUACCUCUAAGAGAAUGAAUAUGUGCUCAACAAUCAUAGUUGGUUGGCACUUCUCAGACAUUAUCCCAUACUCUGGUACUUGUUGUUUUCAUUUCAUCCCCUCUGGACUCCCAUCUAUUCCUCUUUUCCGACUCAUUUUCAUCCUCGCAAAACUUAGUCUUGGUUUCUUUUUUCUUUUAUUUUUUUUUUACUUACGCACGGCUAGACAAUACUUCAUCGAAUGCUACUUUUCGUUGAGUUUACCCUUGCACCACUUCAUGCUUGGAUAGCCACUAGUUUCCUCUUCACUACUCUCGAUUACCUCUCCUUUAUCAAGGAAUAAUUGUUGGUAAAAAAUAGAGAUAAUUUGUGUCAUUCUGGGAGACGCCACAUCAAUUAACGUCCCAGGUUCACUAAAAAGAAAUUGUGAAGUCCAUCUUGCUUUUUGAUGUCCUCAAUUAAGCGAGUUUAUCAAAGGACAUGCUCAACUUAAUCCCCGCACUCAAGUUGUCUGCUUAGUCUUUAUUUCCUCAUAUCAUCCACUUCAGUUUUAUUUGUGAUUCUCACAAUUGUGUAAACAGUGUACAAAUCUUGUAUUUGUGCCCGCUUUGUAGCAUCAACUCCGCUAUACUUGACACUGGGCAACAAUAUGUUGUUUUAUACUAGCUUCGAUUCUCAUUUCUUCUCUUAGAGUCCUCAAGAAGACUUUGAAGAUCUUCUCCUCCAUCCCAUGUCCCUUAUUUAACUCAACACUCACAGAAUAUUUCCAUCAUGCUUGAUCCCUUCACGCGAACAAUACUACCUUAGGCGGGGAGGAACAAGAAAGUACAAACAACCUAGAGUUGACAACUCUAUGAUUUAUACCUAAUGUUUCCUCCCCCUUUACUCACCAUGUCCCUCAAGACCUUCGACACAUUUCCACACCAGCAACUUGUAAAAUCAUAUGGCUUUCUUCAUAGAGAACACUUCAUACUGCUUAGUUAUGCCACUUCCAUGUGCUCUUGUUUACCACCUUUCAGACCGCUCCCCCACUUAUUGCUUUGGCCCAUCUUCUUAGGCGGCUAUCAAUCAGAUAUCAGAGUUGAAUAUUCCUUCAAUUCCUUGGUAAUAGAACCAACUCAAUAUUGGUUGCCCUUUACUCUACACCAUAAUCCUCCAGGUUCUGACCUUCUUCAGGAAGGUUUCAAGCUCAGUCAUAUCUCUUGAAUUGUUGUCACAAUCCGCUUACUCUAUUAAAAAUCAAGUGCCACGUCCUCUUGUGUCAUCCAUAGAUGCUGAAAAGUUCCUUUAUGUACUUUCCUUAUGAACACCUUGUUGGAGUUUACCAACUCUCUUGAAUAACAAAUGUUACAUUCUUAUAGUAAAACUGGAGCUUAUCAUUUCAUAUCCCCCUUUUCUCAUGUAUAGAGUGAACACUCUCUAUUCAUGGGACUUUACCCUUUCAUUUUUAGAAUAGAUUUAGCUUUAUAGCUUGAUCCCAUAAACGUUGUUCUUUAUAUGUCUGCACAGUCACCAAUCCCAAUAAUAUUAAUGCAUAAGUUCAUAUUGAAGAGAAAAUUAUUUACCUCCAUUCCACAACAAGGAUUGAAGUUUUGGGAUUCCACCCGUGCCUACUUCAUAGGCAUUAGCUCGUGAUUCACGCCAUUGAUAAUUGUUCCUCUGGUUCACUUCUGAAGUAUUGCUCAUAGUCUUUCCUAUGUCAUAUUUAAUAUUAUUGCACCAUUCCUGCAAGUAAAACAAAAUACAUGAGAGGCUUUUGCCUCAAUUCUGUCUCGGGAGGCCUCUUGCCUCAAUUCUAUCUCCGGAGUCCUCUUGCCUCAAUUAUGUCUCAGGAGGCCUCUUGCCUCAAUUCUGUCUCAUGAGGCCUCUUGCCUCAAUUUUGAGUGGAAUGGUCUCGGGAUUCUCGGAUGGCCUCAAGCUCUAUUGGCUCAUCCUCCCCCUUAUCACUAUACCCUGAGGUCAUUACUCUCUCUCCAAGGGCCACUAAAAGGAAGUAUGUAGCACCUAGUCAUUACCCUCUCUCCAGAAGACAUUUCCAAUGGAGUGUGCAGUACUAGGUCAUUACCUCUCUCCCGAUGGUGUCCCUAGUGGAGCGUGCAACACCUCUAAUUAAUAUGGCCAGUCUAGCCCGAAAGCUCAUGCUUUUGUCUUCUUCACCUCAUAAUGUGCUACUACUCCUCGUAGCUUCAUAAUUGGAGGUCACUGCCUCCCCCUUUCACCACUUUAGGCUCAAGAUCACCCCACCGGGUGUCAUUCGCAUGAAGGAGAUUUUGGAAGGCCUCAAUCUCCCGCCAAUUUGGCUAUCAUAGCCAACAACCUUCAUUUUUAUUAUAUAUAUAUAUAUUUUUUUUUUCACUCUAGUGCCUCAAGGCACUUCUAACCAGAAUCAUCUCCAAUGCGUUUCCCUCUUAGGUGGCAUAGACAACCAACCAGGCAGCGCGAUUCUCACCCUUCUCUCAAGGGCCUUUGUGCAGGUGCUAAACUUCGUCAUUCUUGCUCGCAGAUCUUUCUUGCUCUGAUACCAAUUGUCACGGUUUCAGAUUUCAGCAAUCGCCUGGAACCGUGCGGCACUUGACUCGAACACCUUCAAGCCAAGUCAGCCUUAAGAAUCACCCGAUACCCUGUGAACAUGAGUACCCUGAUUAGUCAAGGUUAUAUAAGCGAAUAGCGAAGCCAACAGGCAGCAUUCCAUUAGAAGCCUCACAGUAGGCACAAAAGAUAAGAACUGAACAUGGGAAUUCAUGAACAGGCCACUUAUUUUAUUACAGGGGCAAAAUAGUAAUUAUACAUUAUCAUCGAUGCAAUCGUUACAAUAAUUCUCACCUCCCUUGUAGACAGGGAGACGGUCUACAAGGAGUGAAGGCACAACUUGGAUCUCCGUAGGCCUACGGUAGCCAACUGGGCCCAGCCCCAGCUGGUGGCCAACUAGUCACUCUUCCCUAAAGAGCCUUAGGAACAACUUGGCUUGUGACAGGAGGAGACAUCAACAUGUCUCAUAUGACACCCCCCUAAAAAAAAUACAUGAAAAGGAAUUACAACAAAUUGUCUCGGCCAUUAUCUGCCUACUAACUUCUACUAUUUUAUCCCAAUAUUGCUUUUUAGGAAUUUCAAUGUUGGAAAAUUACAGUUUUGGUCCUUGAAAACUCUAUGACCCUGACACUAUGGAUGAUUUUGCUCCAUGUAUAUUUGUUUUUUGAGAUGCAUUAAGUCUAUAUCAUUUUAAAUGGCUAACAAUUUAAGAGCAAUAGCAAAGGGCUAUAUUAAGUUUUUCCCUCUCAUUCUCUUAACGACUUCAACCUGAAAGCAUAAGAAGCUGUUAAUGUUCUUGUUGACUUAUUUGCUGAUCCUAACUGAUUCUAGGGAUAUGAUUUGAUUUGAUUUGAUUAGGAUUCUUAAUUAUCUCUGUAAUUAUUAUUUGAUUAUUUAUUUCCUGUUUAGAUAUAAUUCUUUGUGUAUAAAUAGUCAUAUAAACCAAUUGUAAAGAUUAAGAGUGAAGUACAAGAAUUCUCUAAAUUUUUCUAAAAUUCUUCAUGGUAUCAGAGCCUUUUCCUGAUUUUAGGGUUCAAAUUUAAUUUUUUCCUCUUUGAAACCCUAGAUUUACCUUUUUUUGUACUAACCCAUCUAGGAGCCUUUCCUCCUCUCACCGCCGGCUCCAGAACUGUCGCAGGCCGAUCGCCCAGCUCCGACGUCGAAAAAGCCUGCACGUGAGGCUCACGCGGCUCCCUUUCCCGGCGCGUGACCAAUCGCCUAACGCUGCUUCGCGGCUCCGAUCACUUCGGCGACGAUUCCGACCAUCUUUCCAGCCUUCCCGUGCCGCUACCUGGUCUUUUGGUGAAUCGGUUGGGCUCUCUUGUGUGUACAACCUUGGGUACCUCCUAUUCUUUCACGGUUCACAAAUCUUUACCAUGGCAGAAGGUAAAAGAGUCUCGAUUCCUAACUCUGAUUUCUCGUCCUCCGGUGCCACAUCUAACUUUGUAAAGUCAGGUAAUGCUUCCUCUCUUAAUAAUGUUCCAUGGAUUAUCGAUUCUGGUGCAAAUAGACACCUGACAGGCUCUUCUAAAGGCUUUCUCAAUUAUUUUCCUUCUCUAACCAAAGAUAGUGUCAGAAUUGCUGAUGGCUCUUUUACUCCCAUAUCUGGAACAUGUUCUGUUAUUUACACAUCCAACAUUAAAUUAUCAUCUGUCCUUCAUAUUCUCCACUUUCCUGUCAACCUUUUAUCUGUCAGUGCUAUUACCAAUGCCCUUAAUUGUAAAAUUGAAUUCUUUCCUGAUCAUUGUGUUAUUCAGGAUCUUCGCACAGGAAAGAGGAUUGGCAAUGGUAGGCUGCAUGAUAGCUUAUAUAUGUUGGAGGGUGAUCCAGGUUUUUCGAUAUCUCAAGCCUAUUUUGGAGAAAAUAAGGAUGUCAAUCAGGAAAUAAUACAGUGGCACAAACGGUUAGGGCAUCAAUCAUUUUUUGCCUUAGAAAAACUUUAUCCUAAUUUGUUUGCUAGAACUCGAUUUGAUUCUCUAUUUUGUGAUACUUGUGAGUAUGCUAAACACACUAGAACAUCCUAUCCUUUGAGUCAUAAUAAAAGUCAAAUUCCUUUUGGGACUAUUCAUUCUGACGUUUGGGGGCCUACUCAAACUGUCUCCUUGUCUGGUAAUCGAUGGUUUGUCACCUUUAUUGAUUGUUGCACUCGAAUGACUUGGGUCUAUUUGUUUAAAGCUAAAAGUGAUGUCUUUUCUUGUUUUCAAUCCUUUCAUAAGAUGGUUUGUACUCAAUUUGAUACUAAGGUGAAAAUUUUGAGAACUGACAAUGGAAGAGAAUAUAUGGAUAGUAGCUUUUCUACUUAUUUGGAGAGUAAUGGGAUAGUACACCAGACUAGUUGUCCUUAUACUAGUGCUGAAAAUGGUGUUGCUGAGAGGAAAAAUAGGCAUCUAUUGGAGGUAGCUCGAUCUCUUAUGUUCACCAUGAAUCUACCCAAAGCAUAUUGGGGAGAUGCAAUUCUUGCAUCUGCUUAUCUUAUCAAUAGAAUGCCUCUCAAGACCCUUAACUUUAUGAGUCCUUUGGCGGUUCUACAAGGGAAGAAUUCAUACAUUGUUCCACUAAAAGUAUUUGGGUGUGUUUGCUUUGCCCAUACUAGGACGGCAGGAAAAUUGGAUCCCAAUGCCCUUAAAUGUGUGUGUUUGUUGGGUAUUCUCCAACACAGAAGGGAUACAAGUGUUAUCAUUCUCCCUCUAGGAAAUACUUAGUUAGUAUGGAUGUUACUUUCCGAGAAACUGAACCCUACUUUAGUACCACCCACUCACCUCUUCAGGGGGAGAAUAAUGAGCAAGAAGAGGUGAUCCCAAAUUCUAUGAUUCUAAAUGAUAUGACUCAACUAGAAAGUUUGAAUUCUAGUAGACAGGGGGAGAUGUCCAAUCAGGGAGAGAGAACUGGUCGUUUGGACAAGCCAUAUUUGAGAAGGUAUUCGAGGAGAGACAAGGCAGAAGAAGUCAUUAUGCAGUCUACUCAGAGUCAAGAAUCUUCUCUUGGUGAGUUACCCAGUCAUGAAUCUUCUUCUGGUGAGUUACCCACAACUCUUUCUUCUGGUGAGUUACCCACAACUCUUGAAUGUUUCAAUGACUUAGAUAAACCUAUUGCACAAAGAAAAGGGGUCAGAUCUUGUACUAAAUACCCUAUUUCUAACUUUGUUUCUUAUGAAUCCUUAUCUCGUUCCUAUAGAGCCUUUGCCUUGUUUAUUUCUUCUGUGUCUAUUCCACAGGAUUAGAAGAAAGCUCUUGCAGAUCCUAAAUGGAAGAAAGCAAUGAUUGAAGAGAUGAAAGCAUUGGCUAAAAAUGAGACUUGGGAGCUUGUCACUCUCCCACCUGGGAAGAAACUCGUUGGCUGUAAAUGGGUGUUCACAGUGAAACACAAAGCUGAUGGCACAAUUGAAUGGUUUAAGGUCAGAUUGGUUGCUAAAGGAUUCACCCAAAUCUAUGGAGUGGAUUACCAAGGGACAUUUGCCCCAGUUGCAAAAAUGAACUCAAUCAGAGUUUUGUUAUCCUGUGCAGCCAACUUGGACUGGGACUUGCAACAGUUUGAUGUGAAGAAUGCUUUCCUCCAUGGAGAUUUAGAGGAAGAAGUGUUCAUUGAAAUUCCUCCUGGGUUCGCUGAUGAGAAGACACAAGGAAAGGUGUGCAGGUUAAAAAAGGUUUUGUAUGGACUAAAACAAUCUCCUAGAGCUUGGUUUGACAGGUUUAGCAGAGCUAUGAUGUUCUUUGGUUACCAACAAAGCAAUGCUGAUCACACUCUGUUUAUCAAACAUCACAAGGGUAAGAUCACCCUUCUUAUUGUUUAUGUUGAUGAUAUAGUGGUGACAGGCAAUGACAAAGAGAAAAUGACUUAACUAAAGAGGUUGUUAGCUCAGGAAUUUGAAAUCAAAGAUCUAGGAAAACUGCAAUAUUUCCUAGGUAUUGAGGUGGUUAGAUCAGAAAAAGGAAUUUUCAUCUCCCAAAGAAAGUACAUUAUGGAUCUGUUGGAAGAAACUGGUAUGAUGGGGUGUAAAUGUAAUACCCGGCUAGACUCCGGUGUCGGAAUUCCAACCUUCCGACGGAAUCUCCGUUGAAAUCCGGAAUCUCGGAUACCGGAACCUCUUAGAAGGGCAAAAUAUGUUUUUACAAAAUGUUUUCAUGAUUUUAUUGAUUGGUUUUUAGUUAAGUUUUAAAAUGAAAGAAAAAAUAUUUUUGAGGGACAAGUCCAGGUUCGGCCGCCGAACAUGGUGCUGCCGCGGGAGCUCUCCUUUCGGCCCCCGAAGGUGGUCUAGCCAGCCACCUAUAAGAGGCCUCCAGUCCAAAAAUGGGGGAGUUUCUCUCUCCAUUUUCAGGCAAAGGUGAGUUCUUGCCCUUCCUUUGAUGAUUUUAUGCUUUUCCUUCAAAUUUUCAUGAGUUUUCGUUUAUUUUUGAAGUUUUAAGCUUGGAUCAAAGAUUUUAAAGUUUGGGAGACCGUUUCUCCUCAACUCCAAGCUUGGGUCGCAUCUACCUUAGAUUGUCAAGAGGUAAGUGUAGAUCCUUGUCUUUUCCUAUGUUUUAAGUAAGUUUUAAAAAGGGUUAAGGAUUAAAGAUGCGGUUUUGAGUUGGAUUUUUGAUGAAUGUAUGCUUAUGUGAUGUUCUUGUUGUUGUUGUUGGGGCUUAAGUUAGUUUUAUGCCCCUUAUGCUUUAUGGAGUGAGUUUUUGCAUGUUUUGAGAAGUUGGGUAUGAGUUUGGUGAGUUUUGGUGGCUGAGUGUUGAGGCAGAAUCGGGUUCUGCCAUCCUGGAGAACCCAGGUUCGGCCGCCGAAGCAAGAUUUGGCUGCUGAACCUGCAUGGGAGCAGCCUUUUGGCCGCCUAACCUGUCCCCGAAAGCAAGCACUUUCGGAUCUGUCAGGGAGUUUCGGCUGCCGAACUCGUCCCCGAAAGUCUCUGACUUUCGGAUCUGUGGAGGACCUUCGACCACCGAACCUGCCCCCGAAGGACCCCGACUUUCGGAUCUGUAGAGGACCUUCGGCCGCCGAAGGUGCCGCCGAAAGUCCUCUGCCCAGCCUUCCUUUGCUUGUUUUACAUGUAUGUUUAGUGAUGUUUUAGGGGGUUUUUGGAGAGUUGUAUGGAGUCAUGUUUUAGCUAUGUUUGGUCCUUCAAGGGAGUCCAUCUGUGUAGGAUCGGACCUGGGAGACCGUAGAGGCCAGCAGUGAGUCCGCUGCUUCAGUUUUAGUCAGACGUCAGCCAGAGAUGAGUAGAACUAAACUAAUCUAUUAUUUUUAAAAUAAUCAAACUUUUAAGCAUGUUCAUGCAUCAUGAAUGCCAUGUUAUGUAAUAGGUUGUUGCAUUAGAAUUCACGAAUAUGAUGCAUUGCAUAAUUUACUGUUGAUGUGGAUGGAUAUUGGAUGACCCAUUAGCCCUUGAUAUGAUAUGAUAUGAUAUGAUAUGAUAUGAUACGGAAGUCCAGGUCGAGACCCAUUCUACGCCUCUAGUACGAUGUAAGAGAAAGUCCAGGUCGAAGUCCAUUUUACGCCCCUGGCACAGUUGGAUAUAUUAUGUUAUGUUUAAGAGGAAGUCCUAAGGAGUUCUGUCGAGGGCCGGGUAUUAUUUGGAUAUGUAGAGGGUUACUGGUGACAAGUUCAUCUUGAUGUGUAUUGUUUGUGUUGUGAUGCAUUUCAUGAGAGCAUAUGAUUAUUAAACUGUUUUUAUAUUCUGCUCACUAGGCUUUUGUAGCUUAUCCCUUUUCCGUAACCCCAGGUUUGCAGGAUCAGAGAUAGAGCGGAAAGUCGGCAUAGUAGCUAGUAUAGUUUAAUGUAAUAGAAUAGAAGUGGACAUAUACUAUGUAAUGGAUUAGAUUUGUGCUUCGCCCUAGUUUAUGUUUUGUAAAUCCCUGUAAACAUAAUUUUUAUAUAAAAGUUUUUAUGAUGAGUUAUGUUGAACCAAGUUUGAUGUAUGUGAUUGACUAUGCUAGAGCAUUUGAUGGGGGCUCUAGUGUGGAUUUUAUGUAUACAGUUUGUGAUGCAUGCACAGGUCGAGCUUGGUAUAUGGAAAGUUUAAAUUUUUUCAUGAAAAUGUAUGAUCAUGUAAGGGAUUUUAUCAGGUACACAGGAGGUAUAGUAGGCUUGCUACGGGUUUCGGCAACCUUAAGUCGAUCUGAAUCCUAGCGCCAGUAGCGGUUCGGUUUCUGGGUCGUUACAGAGUGGUAUCAGAGUCCUAGGUUCAUAUGGUCGGACCUAGCGUGUCGGGCUCAUAGAUGUUAUAGAAGGGUAAGCACAUUAGGAAAAAUCAUGUCCACUAGGAUAGGAUGUAGAGUCCUGUCUUGAUGAUGUGAAAUGCCAUGAUAUUAUGCAUGUGCAUUAAUGAUAUGUAUGAAUGUGAUGUGGGUUCAUGUGUGUCCACAUGAACCAUAUGAUGCUAAUGUUUAUGUGAUGUAUGUCGUUUUUUCAGAAAUCAGAAUGCGAGACACUCGUGGAUCUGCGAGAUUGACUGGAGUUCCACCUGAAAAUGAGGGCAUGGAUGCCCUUCCCCCUGCUCUGCCAAGAGCACGGUCAAGUAGAACCAGCAGAGGAGAAACAUCAAGGGACCCUAGAAGGUCUUUUGAUGUAAACAGGAGGAGAACCGAUCCGGGUAGGAUGUCAGCGGAUGUGAGGGAAUCAGUGGAAGAUGAUCAGAGGAGGGAUGACAGUUUGGGUGUGAGCAUGUCAGAAGAGGGUAUGGGAGAAUCACAAGGAGGCGCUCAGGCCUCGGGUUUUGCUUACCCACCACAGUACCAACCCUACCCACAGGGACCGGGGUAUCCGAUGGGAGGCACAUCGGAUUUCUCUAGUUACAACCCAUAUCCCUCAUUCAUGCCCUAUCCUCCCUACUACCCUCCAUAUCCACCCUACCUCAUGUUUUCACCCAACCUUUCUAUCAGAACCCAGCAAAUCCUAACCCAGAGAAUGUUGCACCACAUCCUCCUCCCCCAGUAGAACCGGUGGUUCCUGAAACCCAAUCAUCCAGACCCAACCCAUCAGAUGGGAGCAAGGUAAAAAUGACAGAUUAUCUGAAGUUAGAUGCUCCCAAGUUUAAAACAGGUGAUGAUCCGUUCGAGUAUCUCAAGACGGUGAAAAUGAUAAAUGUAAGAAGGGGAAAGAAUGGUUUAAAAAUUAUGUGGACCCGAGACUGGACAGCCUAUCAUGGGAGCAGUUUGCUAAUGAAUUUGCAGGAUGGGCUUUUCCAGAUAGUUCAAGGGAAUUGAAGGUAAUUGAGUUUGAGCAGUUGAGACAAACUAAAGACAUGAGUGUAGAUGAGUACACAGACAAAUUCCUUGAGUUGCUUCAGUUUAUGAGACAGGCAUAUGAUACGGAUCAGAAGAAAGUCAGGAGGUAUACCAUGAGACUCCACUCAAGGUAUUCCUCUCUGAUCUUAGCGGCAGAGAGGGAGAGUUUUCACAUCAUAGUAGAUGCAGCCAGAAAGAUGGAGGCUAGUGUCAUUAUUCAGGGGACAGUAAAACAACAGGUGGCACAGCCCUCGGGUUCCAAAACUCCAAGUUCAAGAAAUUUUGAUCUCAACUCUCUGGGUGAAGCUGCCACGAAGGGUAAGAAGUGGAACAAAUCCAAGCCUAAGAAGAACAAUUUCUGGAAUAGGUUAAAGUCUGGUCUGGGAAUGGGUGGUGGUUCGAGCUCUGGUUCGGAUAGCUCCGGAUGUAUGAGGUGCGGUAAGCCGCACAAAGGGGUUUGUCGGUUUGGGACUACAGCAUGUUUCAGAUGCGGACAGGAGGGGCACAUGGCACGUGAGUGUCCCAGUGCAGUUAUGAUGGCUCAGUCCCAGCGGACAGCUUCUGGUAGCGUGGCCCAGCCAGCAGUUCCAACCAUGUCGCAGGGCAGAGGUUGAGGUAGAGGGAGAGGGACAGCCUCUUUUUCAGCAGGUUCUCACGGAGAAGGUCCAUCAGCUCCAACACGGAUCUUCACCAUGACUCAGCAGGAGGCUAACACAUCGAACACGGUGGUGUCAGGUAAUCUCAUUAUUGGAUGUUCUGAUGUGUAUGCUCUUAUGGACCCUGGUGCUUCUCAUUCUUUUGUUGCUCCGACAGCCGUAGACAGAGUGGGUUUGAUAGCUUCUGGGCUAGAGUGUCCUCUUUGGGUCAGUGGGCCCAAGUGUGAUCCAUCUGUGGCGAAGUCAGUCUGCCGGUUCAGUCUAGUAUUUGUUGAGGGUAGGUGCCUUCCAGCUGACCUUGUGGUUCUAGAUUUGAUAGAUUUUGACAUCAUUCUAGGGAUGGAUUGGCUUUCUACUCAUGGUGCUACCUUGGACUGCAGAGACAAGGUAGUCAGGUUCAGAGAUCAGGAUGGAUCAGAGGUAGUCUUCAGAGGGGACAGGAUAGGGAUGCCUAGAGGUUUGAUAUCUGCCCUUCAGGCUCAUAGGUUGCUUAGGAGGGGUUGUCAGGGGUUUCUUGCUCAUGUCGGAGAGCUAAACAGUCAGGUUAGGGAACCAGCUUCAGUGCCCGUAGUCAGAGAGUUCCUAGAUGUUUUCCCAGACGAGCUGCCAGGUUUACCACCUGCUAGGGAGAUAGAGUUUGAAAUUGAAGUGAUGCCAAGAACCAGACCCAUCUCUAUCCCUCCCUACAGGAUGGCGCUUGCAGAGUUAAAGGAGUUAAAGGAGCAGUUGUAGGAGUUGGUAGGUAAGGGUUUCAUCCGACCUAGUACUUCAUCUUGGGGUGUUCCGGUCCUGUUUGUGAAAAAGAAGGAUGGAUCCCUAAGACUUUGUAUCGACUACAGACAGUUGAACAAUGUCACUACCAAGAACAAAUAUCUGCUAUCCAGGAUUGAUGAUCUAUUCGACCAGCUAUCAGGAGCCGGUUGUUUCUCGAAAAUAGAUUUGAGAUUCGGGUACUACCAGUUGAGGGUUAGAGAAGAAGAUGUGCCAAAGACAGCUUUCAGGACCAGAUAUGGGCAUUUUGAGUUCCUAGUGAUGCCAUUCGGGCUGACCAAUGCCCCUGCAGCAUUCAUGGACCUCAUGAAUAGAGUUUGUACUCAGUUUCUGGAUCACUUCGUUAUUGUCUUCAUUGACGAUAUCUUAGUGUAUUCCAGGAAUGCGGAGGAGCAUGCCCAUCAUCUGAGGAUAGUGUUGCAGACCCUGAGAGAACACAGCUUGUAUGCCAAGUUCUCUAAAUGUGAGUUCUGGUUGAAGAGCAUUUCUUUCUUGGGCUUUUAUCUUAUGAGAUCCGGGGUUGGGGAAUUCCCCGAUCCAGUCCUUUCUUGAGUACUUAAGUUUAGUUUAACAAGGGCAUGAAGUGUCAGAAAAGGGAGUUGAGGUAGAUCCCAAGAAAGUUGAAGCUGUAGCAAACUGGCCUAGACCCACUACAGUGACAGAGAUUAAGAGCUUUUUGGGUUUGGCGGGUUAUUACAGGAGGUUUGUCCAGGACUUCUCUAAAAUUGCCGCUCCUAUGACCAAGUUGACCAAAAAGAAUCAGAAGUUCGUUUGGUCAGAACAGUGUGAAGAAAGUUUUGAAGAGCUGAAGAGGAGACUGACGUUAGCACCGGUGUUAGCUCUGUCUACCAGUAAUGAAGACUUCACAGUGUUUUGUGAUGCGUCCCGAGUGGGACUAGGUUGUGUGUUGAUGCAGAAUGAAAGGGUGAUUGCUUAUGCUUCUAGACAGUUGAAGAAGCAUGAGUUGAAUUAUCCUACACACGACCUAAAGAUGACAGCUGUAAUCUUUGCACUCAAGAUGUGGAGGCAUUACCUGUAUGGGGUAAGAUGUGAGAUUUUUACAGAUCAUAAGAGUUUGCAGUACAUCUUGAGUCAGAAAAAGUUGAACCUGAGGCAGAGAAGAUGGGUGGAGCUGCUUAGUGACUAUAAUUGCAAGAUCCAAUAUCAUCCGGAUAAGACAAAUGUAGUAGUAGAUGCUCUCAGCCGGAAAUCACUUGGCAGUUUAUCCCAUAUUACAGCAGAGAGGAGACCGGUGGUGAGGGAAUUUUACAAGCUCAUUAAUGAAGGUUUACAGUUAGAGUUGUCUGGUACAGGUGCACUAGUGGCUCAGAUGAGAGUGGCACCCGUGUUUCUGGAACAAGUGGCAUAGAAACAGCAUGAGGACCCCAAGUUGGUGAAAAUUGCUAGGACUGUUCAGUCAGACAAAAAUGAAGAGUUUAGAUUCGACAACAAAGGGAUCCUCCGUUAUGGGAACAGAUUAUAUGUACCAGAUGACGUGAGUUUGAAGGGAGGCAUUAUGAGGAAAGCUCAUAAUGCGAGGUACAGCGUUCACCCUGGAGCCACCAAAAUGUACCAGGACUUGAAGAGAGUUUAUUGGUGGCCAACUAUGAAGAGGGAAGUGGCGCAGUUUGUGUCAGCUUGUGAGAUCUGUCAAAGGGUGAAACUGGAACAUCAGAAGCCAGCUGGGAUGCUCAACCCACUACCGAUUCCAGAGUGGAAAUGGGAAAACAUGGCUAUGGAUUUCGUAGUGGGAUUACCAGCAACGUCCAACAGAUUAGACUCUAUAUGGGUAAUAGUGGACAGAUUGACCAAGUCUGCUCACUUUAUCCCUGUCAGGAGUGGCUACUCUGUGGACAAACUGGCACAAGUAUAUGUUGAAGAGAUUGUCAGGCUGCAUGGGGCUCCAAUAUCAAUAGUGUCAGAUAGGGGACCCCAGUUUACCUCCAGGUUUUGGCGGAGUCUGCAGAAUGCUAUGGGCACAAGGUUGGACUUUAGCACUGCUUUCCAUCCACAGAAUGACAGACAGUCAGAGAGGACCAUCCAAACGAUUGAAGACAUGUUGAGAAUGUGUGUGCUAGAUUUUGGCGGUUCUUGGAGGCAGCAUCUACCACUCAUGGAGUUUGCCUACAAUAACAGUUAUCAUACUAGCAUAGAGAUGGCUCCUUAUGAAGCUCUAUAUGGGAGGAAGUGCAGGUCACCUGUCUGCUCGGAAGAAGUAGGAGAAAGGGCCUUGGCAGGGCCAGAGUUAGUUGAGAUCACCAGCAGGGUAGUACCUAUUAUCAGAGAAAGAAUCAGGACUGCUGUGAGUCGGCAGAAGAGUUAUGCAGAUGUCCGUAGGAAACAUGUUGUGUUCCACGAGGGAGAUAUGGUGUUGCUCAAGGUGUUUCCUAUGAAAGGGGUGAUUCGUUUUGGGAAGAAAGGUAAACUAGCUCCAAGGUACAUCGGACCCUUCGAAAUCUUGCAAAAGGUUGGGAAUGAUAAGCUAGAUUUGUCUGCUUCUAUGGAGAGAAUCCAUCCGGUUUUCCAUGUUUCCAUGUUACGGAAGUUUGUGUCAGAUCCAGACAAGGUUCUUAAUGAGCCUGAUGUAGAGAUCCUAGGAGAUCUCACCUAUGUUGAGCAGCUAGUGCGGAUCAUAGACACUCGAAUCAGAAAGUUGAGGAACAAGAAAAUCGCGAUGGUGAAAGUCCUUUGCAAUCACCACAAUAUGGAAGAGUGCACCUGGGAGACUCGGGAGUCCAUGCUCCAGCAAUACCCCUAUCUCUUUUAAGGUUAGUGUUUUAAGUUUUAUGUAUUUUCUUGUUGCUAUGUUUGCUUGUGUGUUGUUUGAACAUUCGGGGACGAAUGUUCUAAAAGGGGGAAGAAUGUAAUACCCGGUUAGACUUCGGUGUCGGAAUUCUAACCUUCCGACGGAAUCCCCGUUGGAAUCCGGAAUCUCGGAUACCGGAACCUCUUAGAAGGAUAAAAUAUGUUUUUACAAAAUGUUUUCAUGAUUUUAUUGAUUGGUUUUUAGUUAAGUUUUAAAAUAAAAGAAAAAAAUGUUUUUGAGGGACAAGCUCAGGUUCGGCCGCCGAACAUGGUGCUGCCGCAGGAGCUCUCCUUUCGGCCCCCGAAGGUGGUCUGGCCAGCCACCUAUAAGAGGCCUCCAGUUCGAAAAUGGGGGAGUUUCUCUCUCCAUUUUCGGGCAAAUGUGAGUUCUUGCCCUUCCUUUGAUGAUUUUAUACUUUUCCUUCAAAUUUUCAUGAGUUUUCGUUUAUUUUUGAAGUUUUAAGCUUGCAUCAAAGAUUUUAAAGUUUGAGAGACCGUUUCUCCUCAACUCCAAGCUUGGGUCGCAUCUACCUUAGAUCGUCAAGAGGUAAGUGUAGAUCCUUGUCUUUUCCUAUGUUUUAAGUAAGUUUUAAAAAGGGUUAAGGGUUAAAGAUGCAUGUUAUGGUUAGAUCUAAUGUUAUAGGUUUUGAGUUGGGUUUUUGAUAAAUGUAUGAUUAUGUUAUGUUCUUCUUGUUGUUGUUGGGGCUUAAGUUAGUUUUAUGCCCCUUAUGCUUGAUGGAGUGAGUUUUUGCAUGUUUUGAGAAGUUGGGUAUAAGUUUGGUGAGUUUUGGUGGCUGAGUGUUGAGGCAGAAUCGGGUUCUGCCAUCCUAGAGAACCCAGGUUCGGCCGUUCGGCUGCCGAACCUGCAUGGGAGGCAACCUUUUGGCCGCCUAACCUGCCCUCGAAAGCAAACACUUUCGAAUCUGUAAGGGAGUUUCGGCCGCCGAACCCGCCCCCGAAAGUCCCUGACUUUCAGAUCUGUGGAGGACCUUCGGCCGCCGAACCUGACCCCGAAGGACUCCGACUUUCGGAUUUGUAGAGGACCUUCGACCGUCGAAGGUGCCGCCAAAAGUCCUCUGCCCAGCCUUCCUUUGCUUAUUUUACAUGCAUGUUUUGUGAUAUUUUAGGGGGUUUUUGGGGAGUUGUAUGGAGUCAUGUUUUAGCUAUGUUUGGUUUCUCAUGGGAGUCUAUUUGUGUAGGAUCGGACUUGGGAGACCGUAGAGGCCAGCAGUGAGUCCGCUGCUUCAGUUUUAGUCAGGCGUCAGCCAGAGGUGAGUAGAACUAAUCUAAUCUAUUGUUUUUAAAGUAAUCAAACUUUUAAGCAUGUUCAUGCAUCAUGAAUGCCAUGUUAUGUAAUAGGUUGUUGUAUUAGAAUUCACGAAUAUGAUGCAAUGCAAUUUACUGUUGAUGUUGAUGGAUAUUGGAUGACCCACUAGCCCUCGAUAUGAUAUGAUAUGAUAUGAUACGGAAGUCCAGGUCGAGGCCCAUUCUACGCCCCUGGAACGAUGUAAGAGAAAGUCCAGGUUGAGGCCCAUUCUACGCCCCUGGCACAGUUGGAUAUGUUAUGUUAUGUUUAAGAGAAAGUCCUGAGGAGCUCUGUCGAGGGCCGGGCAUUAUUUGGAUAUGUAGAGGGUUACUGGUGACAAGUUCAUCUUGAUGUGUAUUGUUUGUGUUGUGAUGCAUUUCAUGAUAGCAUAUGAUUAUUAAACUGUUUUUAUGUUCUGCUCACUAGGCUUUUGUAGCUUAUCCCUUUCCCGUAACCCCAGGUUUGCAGGAUCAGAGAUAGAGCGGGAAGUCGGCAUAGUAGCUGGUAUAGUUUAAUGUAAUAGAAUAGAAGUGGACAUGUACUACCUAAUGGAUUAGAUUUGUGCUUUGCCCUAAUUUAUGUUUUGUAAAUCCCUGUAAACAUGAUUUUUAUAUAAAAGUUUUUAUGAUGAGUUAUGUUGAACCAAGCUUGAUGCAUGUGAUGUUGACCAUGCUAGAGUAUUUGAUGGGAGCUCUAGUGUGGGUUUUAUGUAUACAGUUUGUGAUGUAUGCACAGGUCAAGCUUGAUAUAUGGAAAGUUUAAAUUUUUUUAUAAAAAUGUAUGAUCAUGUAAGGGAUUUUAUCAGGUACACAGGAGGUAUAGUAGACUUGCUAUGGAUUUCGGCGACCUUAAGUCGACCUGAAUCCUAGUGCCGGUAGCGGUCCGGUUUCCGGGUCGUUCCAGCAGAAUCUCCCAUUGAAAGUAAUCACAAGUUGAAAGUAAAAACUAGUGAGUCCGUGGAUAUUGGAAGAUACCAGAGAUUGGUAGGAAGGUUGAUUUAUCUCUCACACACUCGAUCGGAUAUAGCCUAUGCUGUUAGCUUAGUCAGCCAAUUCAUGCAUGACCCUCGCGAGACUCAUAUGCAAGCUGUACUUCGCAUCUUAAGAUACUUAAAGUCUGCGCCAGGGAAAAGGCUUCUUUACUCCAAACAGGGUCACCUCCGAUUUGAAGCUUUUAUAGAUGCAGAUUGGGUAGGAUCUCUCGAUGACAGGAGAUCCACCUCUGGCUACUGCACAGUUGUGGGAGGGAAUCUUGUCACCUAAAGGAGCAAAAAACAAAGUGUUGUUGUUCGGUCAAGCGUUGAAGCAGAAUACAAAGCAAUGGCCCAAGGUGUGUGUGAACUCUUAUGGUUAGAGAAGUUAUUGGAGGAGUUGAGGUUGCUCGAGAGAGACAAAAUAACUUUAUAUUGUGACAAUAAAGCUGUUAUAAGUAUAGCACAAAAUCCAGUCCAACAUGACCGGACGAAACACAUUGAAAUUGAUCGGCACUUCAUUAAAGAAAAAUUAACGGACGGUAUCUUGAGUCUAGUUCAUGUGACUUCUACUGGACAACUUGCGGAUGUGUUUACUAAAGGGCUCAACAACAAGAUCUACCAUAAUUUGAUUUGCAAGUUGGGCAUGUGCGACAUCUUUGUACCAACUUGAGGGGGAGUGUUGACUUAUUUGUUGAUCCUAACUGAUUCUAGGGAUAUGAUUUGAUUUUAUUAUGAUCCUUAAUUAUCUCUGUAACUAUUAUUUAAUUAUUUACUUCCUAUCUAGAUAUAAUUCUUUGUGUGUAAAUAGUAAUAUAAACCAAUUAUAAAGAUUAAGAGUGAAACACAAGAAUUCUCUAAAUUUUUCCAAAAUUCUUCAGUUCUACACACGCAAACAAAAUAAAACUGGGGGAACGUGAAAGGAAGAAGCUGCUCAAUAUUUCCGAAGAUGCAGGGUCAAAUAUUUUUUGCUUGCUUACAGGCUUUUUGAUAACCAAUAACUAUGUCCAAUUCUGCAUUUGAUGAGAUGUUCUGUUGCUAGUGGAAGAAGUAUUUAUUAUAGCUGAUGUGUUUUACUCAUUACCCUUCCAAACUGAUGUUUCCUUUUGUGGCAUUACCACUUCAUUUGCUAUUGUGACUUGAGCUCAUGCAAGUUGCUCAUUAUUAAGGAAACAUAGAAUUAUAGGUGAAAGAAUAAACUUCUUGUUUGUGUUUACAUCAAUACUUUAACCUUUUGUGGAUUUUGGAAGAUCUUAGGGAAAAUGCAGCACUACCAUUGCUAGUUUGUACGUCUACCUGUUCAAGUGAAUUGCUCCGUUCAAUUAUUCAGAACUCAGAAGCCCGCACAAGGCAUGAAAACAGCCUGUAUAUGAAUAAAAAAGAGCAAUAAAUGAUGCAAAUGAGAUGCUUUUAGUUAUUCGAUACACUUGUAAUGUUCCACCAUAUUUUGGAUGUCUGAAAAGUUACAGAUAAGACACAGGAAUUUUCUAUGGGUUUCAUUGGGUAAUGGAUGAACUGAGCAACACCAUAGUUUAUUAUUAUCAUUAUUACUAUUAUUAGUGCUUGAAAAGGGAGAAAGGAAGUGUGGAGGAUGUCAACCAUUAAAUUUAAAGUAAGAUGGGUGAAAUGGAGAAUUGCAAGGAGUUAACUAUUUAAUUGCAAAAUACUAGCCAAGUUGAAGGGGAAAUUUUUAGGAUCACAAUUCAUUUGCCAUGACUGAUGACGCAUGGUAAUGAGUGUUGGGUAAGUAAAGAAACAACAAUUUAACAAAAUUAGUGUGCAAAAAAGAAUGACAAUUAAGUAGUCAAGGAAAGCUAGAUUUAGGAAUUAUUUUUGUUUAUACUUUUGUUUAAGUUUUAAUUGUGAAACUAAGAUCUUUAUAUUUUCUAGUGCAAUUCUACUAAAAAGUUUAGAUUUUUAUUACUUAGGGAUUCUUUGUAGUAAGUAGAAGUAUUAGAAUGUCAAUAAUGGUGGUAUAUAUUUUCCUAAUUACCACUAGUUUAGAAUUUACUUUGGGAUUCCUAACCAUGGUAGUAGCAUGAAUUAUUAGUCUAUAAAAUUUAAAUACCUAUGUGGCUUACGUGUUAUCUGGGCUAAUUUGCUAUUCAAAUUAUUUAAAGUUCGAAUCAAAGUUUCAUGCUUCGUGUUUGUGAGUUCAUUUAUGGUUCUAUAUGACUUUGGUAUAUGAAUGCAAUUUUAGGAUGGUGGAAGUGGCUCCUUUGGAGGAAAAGUUGAGAAUAGAGAUAUUGAAAUAAUUUGGACAUUUGCAUUGUAGAUGAACAUAUGUGCUUACAAGGGAAUCUAGGAUGAAGUGGAGGGAAAGAGGGAAAAAGUAUUUGGUGGGCCUAGAUCUUUUCAAAGAUGUAGCCCUAAACCAGGUGGAUAGGAAAAUGAUUUUUAUAGUCAAUCCCAACGCCCAAUUAAUGUGGGAUUGAAGUUCAGUUGAGUCUAGUACUAGAGGCACCAUCUAUAUCUACCAAAAUAAAAUGUAUUUGUUCUUAGGAAAUGCAUACGUAUAUUGUCUUGGCAAAAGUACCCAUGAUGUAUUAUUAUUAUUAUUAUUGUUAUUAUUAUGAUAAUUCCAAGGACAUGGACUGUUCUGUGAAAUUUACAUGAGAAAAGUUAUUGUAGUAAAUGCUGAAUUCUUUGCCAAUGAAGUGAAUUGUAAAUGUCAGUUAAGGUAUCAUAAUAUCAUCAUUGGUGUCUGACCAAAAACAACUGUAAUUGUGAACCUAAAAAUAAAGUGCUCAGAUACUGGCCACUUAUUCCAUUGACCACUGUUUUACAAUGCCUCUUACAUUGGGCAAAGGGCAAUAUUUUCCAAUCCAUCUGAAUUCUACUGUUCAGAGAGAUGUUUCAAGGCCUAGAGUUUUUCUUGUUUCUUACAUUCUUAGCAUAGUAAUUGUGUCCACAUUUACUAACAUCUUGUUGGUCAAUUGUCAACUCAUAAAUUUCUGUUUGGAGGUGAUUUUUGUCAAUAAAUAACUGUUUGUAUGUCUUUUCUGAUACUAACUGAAGAUGCUAUUUGCAUCAGAAAAGCAACACCCAGGAAGCAAUGCUAUAAGCAGGACAACAGCGUUCUAGCAGAGGUAGUUCUUGGCGUUUUUACCCUAGAACGUUUUGGAUUUGCUCUUAAGAUUAUCAAUUAUUGCUUUUUCAUCCAGCAAGUUUUGCUUCUGGCUGGAUGGUGUUAAAUUUGGGUCAGGCCUAACUCAUCCCGAAAGCUAACUCAAGGGGAAGGAUCGCCUAUGGACCAUAUAAGGGGCACAUUACCCCUUUCCACAACCGAUAUGAAAUUCAACACACCCCCACACACCCAGAAUUUUACCAAUGCGUGACAUAUUCAUGGGAGGCCCAAUAUCGGAUGGAUGGGGAGGCUCUGAUACCAUGUUAAAUUUGGGUCAGGCCUAACUCAUCCCAAAAGCUAGCUCAAAGGGGAGGAUUGUCUAUGGACCAUGUAAGGGGCAUAUUACCCCUUUCUACAACCGAUGUGGAUUCAACAGAUGGUAAUGUAGAUUUUCCAGUGGCCUUUGUGAUUUUAAAAUUUUUAAUGCUUAUUUGACAUGUCAAC
RNAcentral lists this long non-coding RNA (24895 nucleotides) under Manihot esculenta (cassava). Its description in RNAcentral is "long non-coding RNA (MESC_LNC002578)". The record is from RNAcentral. Lineage: Eukaryota; Viridiplantae; Streptophyta; Magnoliopsida; Malpighiales; Euphorbiaceae.